UACGAAGGGGGCUAGCGUUGCUCGGAAUCACUGGGCGUAAAGGGUGCGUAGGCGGGCCUUUAAGUCAGGGGUGAAAUCCUGGAGCUCAACUCCAGAACUGCCUUUGAUACUGAGGAUCUUGAGUUCGGGAGAGGUGAGUGGAAUUCCGAGUGUAGAGGUGAAAUUCGUAGAUAUUCGGAAGAACACCAGUGGCGAAGGCGGCUCACUGGCUCGGAACUGACGCUGAGGUGCGAAAGCGUGGGGAGCAAACAGG
RNAcentral lists this ribosomal RNA (253 nucleotides) under uncultured bacterium. RNAcentral describes it as "partial 16S ribosomal RNA". It matches the Rfam family "Bacterial small subunit ribosomal RNA", at positions 524 to 776 of the family's 1533-position model. The record is from RNAcentral.